Long non-coding RNA from Vespa mandarinia (Asian giant hornet), 1182 nucleotides. NCBI's taxonomy places the organism in Eukaryota, Metazoa, Arthropoda, Insecta, Hymenoptera, Vespidae. The record is from RefSeq and is a predicted model, not a curated record.
UAUGUACGAUAAUGAUCAAGGACAUCGGAAGCAACUAAAUCUAGAGGAGCAUUAGUUUGUAUACAAAUACCACGUUGUUGUAAGGUGAUAACUGCAUCGCUGGCUAUUAAAGAAAUAUUGGUAAAGUAUUUGAAAACAUUGGAUCGACGAGAGUAUAAUUACUGACAAAAACAUCAACCUCGGACAUCAUUGCGGAGGUUAUGUUCAAAUAUCUGAGAUGUUACAUUCUAUAUAUUUAUUAUUAUUAAUUAUAUAUUUCAUACUAUAUUCAAUGCAUUUAUCAUUUUUUUUUCUAAAUACUUCAUGUUUUUUAGUUUCUAUUAAUUUCUUUCAAAUGCGAAAUGUUAGACAAAUGGCAGUCACAGAAUAACAAAUUUUAUGUACAUUUUAUAUACAUUUUAUAUAUUCAUUUAUUUAUUUAUUUUUUUAACAUUAGUAUUUUCGUUAUCAUAAAUCUCAUUCUCAUUUGUAUUUAUAUAUCAUAUGAACAUAUAUAUAUAUAUAUAUCUAUACACACACACACACAUACACAUAUAUAUACGCAAUUCGAUCGUUAGAAAAUACGAUUAUCGAAUUUACGAGGGUUCGUUUCGAUAAUCGAAACACGAAUAAUAUGUCUACUACCGGUUUCGCGUGGACGAUCGUAUCGUGGAUACUGCUAAUCAAUAUUUUGCUUAUCUCUUUUUACAUACAUAUAUUAAUAAUGAAUCCAUUGUUAAGUUGGUAUAAUAAGAUAAAGCCUUUUAAAGAGAACAAAUUACGAUCGAACUAUUCGUAUGUUAUUAUACAUACAUACGUGAUAUUUUUUUUAACAGUAACGUCGAACUCACGUGCGGAACUUUACGCGCGCGAUUUACAUAGAUUGAGAAGUUUAACAGUGUCCUGUAAAGCAGAAAGUGAUAAAUAAAAACAAAAGUGAAAGUGAACAUCGACGUGGACAUCGACGUGGACAUUGACGUGGACAUCGACAUCGUCAACGAUAUCGUCCAGGAAUUAGAUAUGUAUAGGCGUAUAUCUAUGAUGGGGCAAAUAGGGCAUGUGAUUUGGUCACUAAUGUCAAGAGGUGGGGUGGAGGGUAGGGGAAUAUGAAAAAAUCGAAAGAAAUGGCAGUAGUUCGUCGAAAAGAAUUAAUUUUGACAAAAUUCGAUAAGAAAUGAAUUUGACCGAGGCUUAUACAUAAUU